This is a long non-coding RNA of Gallus gallus (chicken), 325 nucleotides long. The record is from Ensembl. Lineage: Eukaryota; Metazoa; Chordata; Aves; Galliformes; Phasianidae.
CCUCACUUCAUGCUCUUCCAGUCCUGUCAGGGAGUGUACACCUGUCAGAGGAAGUGAGCUCAAUGAAUGGUGUGACUGUGGAGAAUGUUACAGACUCUGAACUGGUGAUAUGCCCCCACUAGAAACAAAAAGCAGUACCAAAUGACAGUUAUUACAAAAAGAAAACCAAACUGUGGAGCAGAUGCUCACCUUCAGCAGCCCGCUCUGCCCCUCAGGGAUCUGUGGGACACGGGGCCACAGCUGCCGCUCAUCUCCCUUCCAGCAAAAGGACUCUAAUUCAUGGAGGAAAAAUUUAAGUUAGUUCUCUCCUGGUGCAGAAACAGCC